RNA transcript from Triticum urartu, 2353 nucleotides. RefSeq lists it as uncharacterized. The record is from RefSeq and is a predicted model, not a curated record. NCBI's taxonomy places the organism in Eukaryota, Viridiplantae, Streptophyta, Magnoliopsida, Poales, Poaceae.
UUCGGGUGCUCUAGUACUUCGCCGCCAACCGCGAGACGAGACCACGCCGCCCACCCACUCGCCGCGCGCCGCCCGCCGCGGCACUCGCCCCGUCCACCAUCGCGUCUGGCUAGCAGCCCAGCACAGACCAUUCACAACUCCUUCCUCCGCUGAAGCUCCCCUUCCCCGCCGCGGCGCCCUCCUCGUCGCCCAUGGCAUCUAGCUAGCAGCCCACCAGAGACCAUUCACAACCCCUACGCGGCCGCGUCGCCGCCAAGGCCCCCCACCCCCAAGCUCUUUCAGGGUGCUAGUGGUCUCCCUGAGGCCGGUCACGAUUAGCACCGACGGUGUGUCCUUGACUGCUCUCGAGGAGCACGUGGCCGCGCGGACAAGGUGCUCGACGAAUUGCCUGCCUGUUCUGGCUUCUGAGCUGAAGAAUGCAACGAUGCUGCCGGGUCAUUGUGUCGCAGCCGGCUGUGCUCCGGCCACAUAAAGGCAACCACGCCGCGUCACGGUUCUGCACUGCAGGCUUCGAGCUGCCUGAAUGGUUCAGGAACCCAAAGAAGGACGGCGACUCCUUUGAUGGUGAUGACCAUGACAAAUUUGUGCUCCCGAUCAAGUCUGAUCCCGUGGAGGAACGGAGCCAUGGAGGCAGCUCCAAGCCUCUGUCGCUCCGCCCCGAGGCUGCCUCCCACGAGGACGCCGAGUUCGAGGCUGAUUUCGACGAAGCCAGCAGGAUCCUGACCUCUUGCUUUGCGUCCCCGGAGGCCAUCGUGAUAGCCAUGGACUGCUGCCCUGUCAGGGUAUCAGACCGCAUGGUCGACAAGAUCCUAAGGAGGUUUGGCAGUGAUUGGGUGGCGGCGUUCGGGUUCUUUAUGUGGGCCGGUGCUCAGGAAGGCUACUGCCACUCUGCUGAUUCAUACAACUCGAUGGUUGACAUACUAGGAAAGUUCAAACAGUUUGAUUUGAUGUGGGGCUUGAUCACUCAGAUGGAUGAGAUUGGCGGUUUGGUGUCGCUGGCAACGAUGACAAAGGUGAUGAGGAGGCUCGCUGGGGCCAGCCGGUGGAGCGAUGCCAUAGACACCUUCAACAAAAUGGACCGGUUUGGUGUUGUGAAAGACACCACAGCUAUGAAUGUGCUCCUAGACACGCUGUGCAAGGAGAGGAGCGUGAAGCGCGCGAGAGGCGCGUUCCAAGAGUUGAGGGGAUCGGUACCUCCCGACGAGAGUAGUUUCAACACGUUGGUCCAUGGGUGGUGCAAGGCGAGGAUGAUGAAUGAAGCCCGUGAUACGAUGAAGGAGAUGGAGGAACAUGGCUUCAAGCCCUCAGUGAUAACUUACACCAGCCUGAUAGAAGCAUACUGUAUGGAGAAAGAUUUUCAGACGGCUUACGCCAUCCUAAACGAGAUGCGCUCGAAAGGAUGCCCUCCAAAUGUUAUCACAUACACGAUUGUGAUGCACGCUCUAGGGAAGGAUGGAAGAACGCAAGAAGCUUUGGAUAUAUUUGACAAGGUGAGGAGGGAUGGCUGUGCCCCAGACGCUUCCUUCUACAACUCUCUCAUAUACAUACUCGGCAGAGCAGGGAGACUGGAGGAUGCAAACUCCGUCGUCGAUAAGAUGUCCAGCACUGGAGUUCCCCCCACUGUUGCUACCUUCAACACCCUAAUUUCUGCUGCCUGUGACCACUCCCAGGCAGAGAAUGCCCUGAAGAUGCUGGUUAGGAUGGAGGAGCAGUCAUGCAAGCCUGACAUCAAGACGUACACCCCAUUGCUGAAGCUGUGCUGCAAAAGGCAAUGGAUAAAGGUACUCCGGUUCCUCAUAUGCCACAUGUUCAGGAAGGAUAUCACCCCUGAUUUCAGCACCUAUACCUUGUUGGUAACCUGGCUGUGCCGGAACGGGAAGCCUGCUCAGUCUUGCCUGUUCUUGGAGGAGAUGGUCCUGAAGGGUUUUACGCCAAAGAAAGAAACGUUUGAUCUUGUGGUGGAGAAGCUUGAUAAGGAAAAUCUCCAUUCAGCGAAGAAAAAGGUUCAACUUCUCACCCUGCGGGCAGCUGCUGUGAAAGUGUGAAGCACACUGGUUCCCCUUACAUGAACAAGGAUGGUGCUGCUGGACAACAUAGUGACAUACUAUCAAACGCUUGUGGCCAUGAACCUUAGAACAAAUGCGAAGCACGAAGCUGACCUCCAAAUGGACACCGAUCGGCGACACCAUGACGCCGCAUAUCGCGCGCCCGGCCUCUGGCAUUCCGCCGAACACACACCGUGCGCGUGCGCCGGCGGACAUCGACAGCAGCUCAAGAAACAUCAUGGACGGAGCACGCACGGGAGCACAGACAGGACGCCCAGGAACCCAACAAGCCAUUCAAGAAAGCGGGC